GCGAGCGUGGCGAAAUUGGUAGACGCAACAGACUUAAAAUCUGUCGGCUUCGGUCUUGCGGGUUCGACCCCCGCCGCUCGCACCA
This 85-nucleotide transfer RNA is filed under the name Brevundimonas sp. RNAcentral describes it as "tRNA-Leu". It matches the Rfam family "tRNA". Rfam says of the family: Transfer RNA (tRNA) molecules are approximately 80 nucleotides in length. Lineage: Bacteria; Pseudomonadati; Pseudomonadota; Alphaproteobacteria; Caulobacterales; Caulobacteraceae. RNAcentral also lists the same sequence under 3 other names. The record is from RNAcentral.